Molecule: ribosomal RNA, 882 nt
Filed under: Pleurocordyceps nipponica
Lineage: Eukaryota; Fungi; Ascomycota; Sordariomycetes; Hypocreales; Polycephalomycetaceae
Description: SSU rRNA
Rfam family: Eukaryotic small subunit ribosomal RNA
Source: RNAcentral
UGCCCUCUGGGCUCUCUGGUGAAUCAUGAUAACUGCUCGAAUCGCAGGGCCUCGUGCCGGCGAUGGUUCAUUCAAAUUUCUUCCCUAUCAACUUUCGAUGUUUGGGUAUUGGCCAAACAUGGUUACAACGGGUAACGGAGGGUUAGGGCUCGACCCCGGAGAAGGAGCCUGAGAGACGGCUACUACAUCCAAGGAAGGCAGCAGGCGCGCAAAUUACCCAAUCCCGACACGGGGAGGUAGUGACAAUAAAUACUGAUACAGGGCUCUUUCGGGUCUUGUAAUUGGAAUGAGUACAAUUUAAAUCCCUUAACGAGGAACAAUUGGAGGGCAAGUCUGGUGAACGCAGCCGCGGUAAUUCCAGCUCCAAUAGCGUAUAUUAAAGUUGUUGUGGUUAAAAAGCUCGUAGUUGAACCUUGGGCCUGGCUGGCCGGUCCGCCUCACCGCGUGUACUGGUCCGGCCGGGCCUUUCCCUCUGUGGAACCCCAUGCCCUUCACUGGGCGUGGCGGGGAAACAGGACUUUUACUUUGAAAAAAUUAGAGUGCUCCAGGCAGGCCUAUGCUCGAAUACAUUAGCAUGGAAUAAUAGAAUAGGACGUGCGGUUCUAUUUUGUUGGUUUCUAGGACCGCCGUAAUGAUUAAUAGGGACAGUCGGGGGCAUCAGUAUUCAAUUGUCAGAGGUGAAAUUCUUGGAUCUAUUGAAGACUAACUACUGCGAAAGCAUUUGCCAAGGAUGUUUUCAUUAAUCAGGAACGAAAGUUAGGGGAUCGAAGACGAUCAGAUACCGUCGUAGUCUUAACCAUAAACUAUGCCGACUAGGGAUCGGGCGAUGUUAUUUUUUGACUCGCUCGGCACCUUACGAGAAAUCAAAGUGCUUGGGCUCCA